This 309-nucleotide unclassified non-coding RNA is filed under the name plant metagenome. RNAcentral describes it as "partial contains 5.8S ribosomal RNA, internal transcribed spacer 2, and large subunit ribosomal RNA". The stretch from base 1 to 105 matches the Rfam family "5.8S ribosomal RNA", at positions 50 to 154 of the family's 154-position model. The record is from RNAcentral.
GAAAUGCGAUAAGUAGUGUGAAUUGCAGAAUUCAGUGAAUCAUCGAAUCUUUGAACGCACAUUGCGCCCCUUGGUAUUCCAUGGGGCAUGCCUGUUCGAGAGUCAUUUGUACCCUCAAGCUCUGCUUGGUGUUGGGUGUUUGUCCCGUCUCCGCGCGUGGACUCGCCCCAAAGUGAUUGGCAGCCGGCGUACUGGUCCCGGAGCGCAGCACAUGUCGCGCAAACGAGUGCCUUGGUACGGCGGCGUCCAUAAGCCCCUCUCUCACGCUCUUGACCUCGGAUCAGGUAGGGAUACCCGCUGAACUUAAGC